Molecule: ribosomal RNA, 361 nt
Filed under: Pseudoalteromonas piscicida
Lineage: Bacteria; Pseudomonadati; Pseudomonadota; Gammaproteobacteria; Alteromonadales; Pseudoalteromonadaceae
Description: partial 23S ribosomal RNA
Rfam family: Bacterial large subunit ribosomal RNA
Source: RNAcentral
GUAGUAUGGUUAAGUGAGUUAGCGUACACGGGGGAUGCCUUGGCAGUUGGAGGCGAUGAAGGACGUACUAACUUGCGAUAAGCCUAGUCAAGCCAGUAAGAGGAGCUUGAGACUAGGAUUUCCGAAUGGGGAAACCCACCUGCUUGCAGGUAUCGUUAACUGAAUACAUAGGUUAACGAGGCGAACGCGGAGAACUGAAACAUCUAAGUACCCGUAGGAAAAGAAAUCAACCGAGAUUCCGAAAGUAGCGGCGAGCGAAAUCGGACCAGCCCUUAAGCUUUAGUGUAGUUAGUGGAACAUGCUGGAAAGCAUGACGAAACAGGGUGAUAGUCCCGUACACAAAAACAUAUCUAAAGUGAAA